Molecule: ribosomal RNA, 238 nt
Filed under: uncultured bacterium
Lineage: Bacteria
Description: partial 16S ribosomal RNA
Rfam family: Bacterial small subunit ribosomal RNA
Source: RNAcentral
AGUAACACGUGGGCAAUCUGCCCGAAAGUGGGGAAUACCCCAGGGAAACUUGGGCUAAUACCGCAUGUCAUCGCGAUCCCGAAAGGGAAUGCGAUCAAAGGGGGGCCGGCAAGGUCUCUCGCUUUCGGAGGAGCCCGCGCCCGAUUAGCUAGUUGGUGAGGUCAAGGCUCACCAAGGCAACGAUCGGUAGCCGGCCUGAGAGGGUGAUCGGCCACACCGGAACUGAGACACGGUCCGG